RNAcentral lists this ribosomal RNA (632 nucleotides) under uncultured bacterium. RNAcentral's name for it is "bacterial SSU rRNA". It matches the Rfam family "Bacterial small subunit ribosomal RNA", at positions 159 to 809 of the family's 1533-position model. The record is from RNAcentral.
ACUGCUAAAACCGCAUAAGCGCACAGGGUCGCAUGACCCGGUGUGAAAAACUCCGGUGGUAUGAGAUGGACCCGCGUCUGAUUAGCUAGUUGGUGGGGUAACGGCCUACCAAGGCAACGAUCAGUAGCCGGCCUGAGAGGGUGAACGGCCACAUUGGGACUGAGACACGGCCCAAACUCCUACGGGAGGCAGCAGUGGGGAAUAUUGCACAAUGGGGGAAACCCUGAUGCAGCGACGCCGCGUGAGUGAAGAAGUAUUUCGGUAUGUAAAGCUCUAUCAGCAGGGAAGAAAAUGACGGUACCUGACUAAGAAGCCCCGGCUAACUACGUGCCAGCAGCCGCGGUAAUACGUAGGGGGCAAGCGUUAUCCGGAUUUACUGGGUGUAAAGGGAGCGUAGACGGCGAAGCAAGUCUGAUGUGAAAGGCAGGGGCUCAACCCCUGGACUGCAUUGGAAACUGUUUUGCUAGAGUGCCGGAGAGGUAAGCGGAAUUCCUAGUGUAGCGGUGAAAUGCGUAGAUAUUAGGAGGAACACCAGUGGCGAAGGCGGCUUACUGGACGGUAACUGACGUUGAGGCUCGAAAGCGUGGGGAGCAAACAGGAUUAGAUACCCUGGUAGUCCACGCCGUAAACCA